AUGCCCUACCGCCAGCUCCACCCUCUUGCUGGUCUCGAGAAGCUUGCCUCACCUAGGCUCCUCACCACCCACAUGUCGAUCACAUUGCUACCUCCGUCCGUGUCUAAUCUUGGUUGCCGUGUUGUGUACCUGUGCCACAAUCCCAAUGACGUGUUUGUGUCCUUAUGGCACUUCACCAACAAGGUAGGCGUGGACUACACCAUUCCCAUGGAUAAAGCAUUUGAGUUGUUUUCCGAUGGGCUGUCCCCGUAUGGGCCUAUAUGGGAACACAAUCUUGGUUUAUGGAAGAAAAGCAUAGUGGGGAGCGACAAUGUCCGUUUCUUGAAGUAUGACAAGAUGAUGGCCGAACUGGUCAAGCACGUCAAUAUGCUCGCCAAGUUCCUUUGUGUCCCCUUCACCAAGGAGGAGGUGAGCCGAAGAGUCGUGGAGGAUGUCAUGCACCGGUGUAGCUUCGAUAAGCUCAAGAGCUUACCAAUCAAUUCAUUAGGAGCAAUUGAUAGGAUUGGCGGGCUGCCAAUGGAGAAAUUUGCCUACUUUAGGACUGGGAAGGUCGGUGACUGGACAAACCACUUGACAGAAGAGAUGGCAAAUAAGCUGGAUUCCAUUGUCGAGGAGAAGUUGAGAGGACAUGGUCUCACAUUUUGA
RNAcentral lists this ribosomal RNA (645 nucleotides) under Triticum aestivum (bread wheat). RNAcentral describes it as "partial small subunit ribosomal RNA". Lineage: Eukaryota; Viridiplantae; Streptophyta; Magnoliopsida; Poales; Poaceae. The record is from RNAcentral.